Molecule: ribosomal RNA, 468 nt
Filed under: uncultured bacterium
Lineage: Bacteria
Description: partial 16S ribosomal RNA
Rfam family: Bacterial small subunit ribosomal RNA
Source: RNAcentral
GACGAACGCUGGCGGCGUGCUUAACACAUGCAAGUCGAACGGAAAGGCCCUGCUUUUGUGGGGUGCUCGAGUGGCGAACGGGUGAGUAACACGUGAGUAACCUGCCCUUGACUUUGGGAUAACUUCAGGAAACUGGGGCUAAUACCGGAUAGGAGCUCCUGCUGCAUGGUGGGGGUUGGAAAGUUUCGGCGGUUGGGGAUGGACUCGCGGCUUAUCAGCUUGUUGGUGGGGUAGUGGCUUACCAAGGCUUUGACGGGUAGCCGGCCUGAGAGGGUGACCGGCCACAUUGGGACUGAGAUACGGCCCAGACUCCUACGGGAGGCAGCAGUGGGGAAUAUUGCACAAUGGGCGGAAGCCUGAUGCAGCAACGCCGCGUGCGGGAUGACGGCCUUCGGGUUAUAAACCGCUUUCGCCUGUGACGAAGCGUGAGUGACGGUAAUGGGUAAAGAAGCACCGGCUAACUACGUG